GGCGCACGGGUGCGUAACGCGUAUGCAACUUGCCUCACAGAGGGGGAUAACCCGUCGAAAGACGGACUAAUACCGCGUACACUCCAGCUUGGGCAUCCAGGCUUGAGGAAAUGAAAUUCGCUGUGAGAUAGGCAUGCGUCCCAUUAGCUAGUUGGUGAGGUAACGGCUCACCAAGGCGACGAUGGGUAGGGGAACUGAGAGGUUGAACCCCCACACUGGUACUGAGACACGGACCAGACUCCUACGGGAGGCAGCAGUGAGGAAUAUUGGUCAAUGGGCGAGAGCCUGAACCAGCCAAGUCGCGUGAAGGAUGACUGUCUUAUGGAUUGCAAACUUCUUUUGUAGGGGAAUAAAGAAUGGUACGUGUACCAUAGUGAAUGUACCCUACGAAUAAGCAUCGGCUAACUCCGUGCCAGCAGCCGCGGUAAUACGGAGGAUGCGAGCGUUAUCCGGAUUUAUUGGGUUUAAAGGGUGCGUAGGCGGCCUGUUAAGUCAGCGGUGAAAUCUAGGGGCUUAACUCCUAAAUUGCCAUUGAUACUGGUGGGCUUGAGUGUAGAUGAGGUAGGCGGAAUGCGUGGUGUAGCGGUGGAAUGCAUAGAUAUCACGCAGAACUCCAAUUGCGAAGGCAGCUUACUAAGGUACAACUGACGCUGAAGCACGAAAGCGUGGGUAUCAAACAGGAUUAGAUANCCUGGUAGUCCACGCAGUAAACGAUGAUAACUGGGCGUAUGCGAUAUACAGUAUGCUCCUAAGCGAAAGCGUUAAGUUAUCCACCUGGGAGUACG
RNAcentral lists this ribosomal RNA (785 nucleotides) under uncultured Bacteroidota bacterium. RNAcentral describes it as "bacterial SSU rRNA". It matches the Rfam family "Bacterial small subunit ribosomal RNA", at positions 97 to 884 of the family's 1533-position model. Lineage: Bacteria; Pseudomonadati; Bacteroidota. The record is from RNAcentral.